RNAcentral lists this ribosomal RNA (441 nucleotides) under uncultured bacterium. Its description in RNAcentral is "partial 16S ribosomal RNA". It matches the Rfam family "Bacterial small subunit ribosomal RNA", at positions 338 to 795 of the family's 1533-position model. The record is from RNAcentral.
CCUACGGGUGGCAGCAGUGGGGGAUAUUGCACAAUGGGGGAAACCCUGAUGCAGCGACGCCGCGUGGGUGAAGAAGUAUUUCGGUAUGUAAAGCCCUAUCAGCAGGGAAGAAAGAAGACGGUACCUGACUAAGAAGCCCCGGCUAACUACGUGCCAGCAGCCGCGGUAAUACGUAGGGGGCGAGCGUUAUCCGGAUUCACUGGGUGUAAAGGGAGCGUAGACGGCCGUGCAAGCCAGGAGUGAAAGCCCGGGGCCCAACCCCGGGACUGCUCUUGGAACUGGGCGGAUGGAGUGCGGGAGGGGCAGGCGGAAUGCCUGGUGUAGCGGUGAAAUGCGUAGAUAUCAGGAGGAACACCGGCGGCGAAGGCGGCCUGCUGGACCGCGACUGACGUUGAGGCUCGAAAGCGUGGGGAGCGAACAGGAUUAGAUACCCGGGUAGUC